AUGGAACGCUAGCUACAGGCUUAACACAUGCAAGUCGAGGGGCAGCAUGCUGAUAGCUUGCUAUCAGUGAUGGCGACCGGCGCACGGGUGAGUAACGCGUAUCCAACCUGCCUGUCACUCAGGAAUAGCCCGGUGAAAAACCGGAUUAAGUCCUGAUGAUAUCAUUAGAGGGCAUCUGACGAUGAUUAAAGGUUACGGUGACAGAUGGGCAUGCGGCGCAUUAGCUAGUUGGCGGGCAACGGCCCACCAAGGCGACGAUGCGUAGGGGUUCUGAGAGGAACGGUCCCCCACACUGGUACUGAGACACGGACCAGACUCCGUACGGGAGGCAGCAGUGAGGAAUAUUGGUCAAGUGGGCGCAGGCCUGAACCAGCCAAGUCGCGUGAGGGAGGACGGUCCUACGGAUUAGUAAACCUUCUUUUGGUCGGGAGUAACGUGCGGGACGGGUCCCGUAUUGAGAGUACCCGAAGAAAAGCAUCGGCUAACUCCGUG
Molecule: ribosomal RNA, 492 nt
Filed under: uncultured bacterium
Lineage: Bacteria
Description: bacterial SSU rRNA
Rfam family: Bacterial small subunit ribosomal RNA
Source: RNAcentral